Molecule: ribosomal RNA, 433 nt
Filed under: uncultured bacterium
Lineage: Bacteria
Description: partial 16S ribosomal RNA
Rfam family: Bacterial small subunit ribosomal RNA
Source: RNAcentral
AACGAACGCUGGCGGCAUGCUUAACACAUGCAAGUCGAACGAGACCUUCGGGUCUAGGGGCGCACGGGGGCGUGAGGAGGGGGAACUUGCACUUAGGUUCGGAAUAACUGCCUGAGAGGGGUGCUAAUACCGGAUAAUGUAAUCGGACCAAAGAUUUAUCGCCGUUGGAUGGGCCCGCGUAGGAUUCGCUAGUUGGGAGGGUAAAAGCCUACCAAGGCGACGAUCCCUAGCUGGUCUGAGAAGAUGCUCAGCCACACUGGGACUGAGGCACAGCCCAGUCUCCUACGCAACGCUGCAGUAGGGUAUAUUAUGCAAGGGGCGAUGGCCUGGUACAGCAAUGCCCCGUAUGAGGUGAAUGCCUUUGUGUUGUAAAGCUCUUUUACCCGAAAUGAUAAUGACAGUACCGGGUGAAUAAGCUCCGGCUAACUCCGUG